AGAGUUUGAUCAUGGCUCAGGAUGAACGCUGGCGGCGUGCUUAACACAUGCAAGUCGAACGGAAAGGCCUUGUGCUUGCACAAGGUACUCGAGUGGCGAACGGGUGAGUAACACGUGGGUGAUCUGCCCUGCACUGUGGGAUAAGCCUGGGAAACUGGGUCUAAUACCAUAUAGGAUCGCAUCUUGGAUGGUGUGGUGGAAAGCUUUGCGGUGUGGGAUGAGCCUGCGGCCUAUCAGCUUGUUGGUGGGGUAAUGGCCUACCAAGGCGGCGACGGGUAUCCGGCCUGAGAGGGUGUACGGACACAUUGGGACUGAGAUACGGCCCAGACUCCUACGGGAGGCAGCAGUGGGGAAUAUUGCACAAUGGGCGCAAGCCUGAUGCAGCGACGCCGCGUGGGGGAUGAAGGCCUUCGGGUUGUAAACUCCUUUCGCUAUCGACGAAGCCACUUGUGGUGACGGUAGGUAGAUAAGAAGCACCGGCUAACUACGUGCCAGCAGCCGCGGUAAUACGUAGGGUGCAAGCGUUGUCCGGAAUUACUGGGCGUAAAGGGUGCGUAGGCGGCCCUUUAAGUCGGAUGUGAAAGCCCGCGGCUUAACCGCGGAAUGGCAUUCGAAACUGGAGGGCUUGAGUGUCGGAGAGGGUAGUGGAAUUCCCAGUGUAGCGGUGAAAUGCGUAGAUAUUGGGAGGAACACCAGUGGCGAAGGCGACUACCUGGACGAUAACUGACGCUGAGGCACGAAAGCUAGGGGAGCAAACAGGAUUAGAUACCCUGGUAGUCCUAGCCGUAAACGAUGGGUACUAGGUGUGGGUGGUUUCGAUACCAUCCGUGCCGUAGUUAACGCAUUAAGUACCCCGCCUGGGGAGUACGUGCGCAAGCAUGAAACUCAAAGGAAUUGACGG
Molecule: ribosomal RNA, 901 nt
Filed under: uncultured bacterium
Lineage: Bacteria
Description: bacterial SSU rRNA
Rfam family: Bacterial small subunit ribosomal RNA
Source: RNAcentral